GCGGAAUACAUCGUGAGUUUACUCACCGUGUGAAGUCAGUUUCCAUGUCUAAGUUUACUUCCCAAGAAGUGGAAGCUCUUCAACAGGGUGGUAAUCAGCGGGCCAGAGAGAUAUAUUUAAAAAGUUGGGACCCUCAAAGUCAGUGGCUUCCUAAUAACAGCAAUGUUGAUAAAGUGAGGGAAUUUAUAAAGACCGUCUAUGUUGAUAAAAAAUAUGCU
RNAcentral lists this unclassified non-coding RNA (218 nucleotides) under Hevea brasiliensis (rubber tree). The record is from RNAcentral. Lineage: Eukaryota; Viridiplantae; Streptophyta; Magnoliopsida; Malpighiales; Euphorbiaceae.